This is a non-coding RNA of Nematostella vectensis (starlet sea anemone), 139 nucleotides long. The record is from Rfam. NCBI's taxonomy places the organism in Eukaryota, Metazoa, Cnidaria, Anthozoa, Actiniaria, Edwardsiidae.
AGCUUUGCGCAGUGACAUUACCGUAGCUGAUGAGGUCCAUCCGAGGCGCGGUUAUUGCUGAUUGAAAACUUUUCCCAAUACCCCGCGAGACGACUUGAAACAUAGUCGGCUUUGCAAUUUUUGUGGGCCCUGCUUAGGG